AUCGCACAUACGCCUUUUAAAUCACCGAAUAACUAUAAGACGGAUCUUAUAGAUUAAUCUAUAUAGUUUAAUGCUUUAAAAGCACACUUGGCUUGAAGUUUUAUUAUUAAUAAAACUGAUGGCAGAUUAUGAACACUGAGCUUGUGAGUUCAUGUAUGUGGGUAAUGAAAAAUGGUCAAAUAAUUAACUUUGAACAAAGCACACCAUUAAUGGAAGGCAAAAAGUGAUUAGGCAUAGAGCUGGGCAAUAUACUUGAGGACAUUUCUACGGACACACGAUGCGCAUCACAAUAUCCAAUUUAGCUAACAAACUGUCUCCAAAACAGUAGUAAAAUCAAAUACUUUUUUUUUUAUUUUUUAAAACUGUUAAACCGAGUUUGACUUUUCUUUAAUGCCUACAAAGACAAAGAAGGUUUUUUUUUUAAUGACGUCCAAAUCAAAAGCAUCCAUUCAGUACCAUUUAAUUUGUAAAAUGUAAAAAUACAAUAUCUCAGAAAAGUGUAUCGUGAUAUUAUUUAACAUGCUGGAUACCAUAUGAAUAUAUCGGCCAGCCCUAACUAACCAUGUUAAAAUGUGAUUAAAAUUGUGUUGACCUACAUUAUGAGAAACUUUCCUUCAAGAAACAUGGGUUGCUUCUAACGGACUACUGCAGUACAAAUUGCCAUUAUCUCAUUACGCAAACAUUUAGGUGAAAUUUUUCUAAAAUACUGAAAUACAUUUUUUAUUUUAUUUCUCCAAAUCAAGUAAGCACAGCAUCAAGUAAGCUACUUCAAACCACAUAAAAGUUAGCUAAUUAAAUAAAAUGUUAGAUUUGUUAUGUUUUAAUACUCUAAUACUUCAGUUAACGUCUAGAGUUAUUUAACAUGUUCAUGUUAAGUAAGGACCAAAGCACAGCAAGGCAUGCUGUUAAGGAAAAUAUUCAACAAUAUUUAGGAAAAUAUUCCACUUUUUCCCAUUAUACAACAGCAAUUUGCCGACGACUGCAGCUUUUAUUUAUUAAAGAACGAUUUUAUCCAUUUAUGUUCACACUGAAUGUUGUGGAACAUCUACGAAACAAGUUCAUUUCUGUUAUCUCAUGCUGUAGCCUCUAUAAACUCAAAUUUGGUUCUCUUUGAUGGUAGACUACAAUUAAGAAAAAUAAUGGAAUGUUGUAACGUUUUGUGUUUUUCGUUGUUGUUUUUUUUCUACAUACUUAUUAUAUAAAAUCAAAUUUGAUCAAAAAUGUCCAUCCAUCCAUCCAUCCAUCCAUCCAUCCAUCCAUCCAUCCAUCCAACCAUCCAUCCAUUUUCCACACAGGUUUGCAGGGGAGUCUGGAGCCUAUCCCAUGAAACUUGGAGAGCAAUUAGAGGGACACCCUGGAUGGGGUGCCAAACAAUCACAGGGCACAACUGCACAGACACUCACACACCCAUUCACACAUUAUAGACAAUUUGGAAAUGCCAAUCAGACUACAGCACGUCUUUGGACUGAGGGAGGAAAACGGAGUACUUGGAGGAAAUACCACAUGCACGAGGAGAACAUGCAAAAUCCACGACGGGAUUCAAUCCACCAAUCCCAGAGGGCCAAAGCAAACAUGCUAACCACUAAGGCACUGUGACCCCCUGACCAAAAAGGUAUUUCAUCAAAUCAGAAGCAAAUUUGACACAAAAAUGAAAACGUUCAAAUAUAAGAGUAGUGCAGAUUCUGACAUUUAGACAGCAAGGAAUCAGUUACCACCGACAUGCAGGAAGAAAUCCCACUUAAGUGUUCUUAUUCUGAAGCAGUAAAUGGGUAUAGAAACUGGAACUUAUUCUGUGUAUGACAGUCAGAGUUUAACUGGUCAGGCUUAAGGUUCUGCUUCAAGCUCCAUCUGUUCUGAGGAAUCAGACCCCUUGCUGAUAGAAUUAACGAGGAGUCGGUCUCAUCGCACACAGCAGGGGAGAGCGCUCUCAUCUCUCCUUUCACCUCUUCCAUCCUUGCUUUACCUCUCUUGUUUCUUUUCUAACUAAGAGAUGUGGGUGCAUUACAGGCAGCUGUCAUUCUCAGAGAACACACCUCAGGGGAAACAGGAAAAGCAGAAGAGAAGGUGGGAGAAGCAGAGAGACUUUGCCAGCGGCCCAGUUAGAGCUAGAUGUCACAUCAGAGAAAGAAAGAGUGAGCCAUUCUUGAUGUGUACCAAUUUGCACACGGUUGCCCAACAGCCUCUUACAAAAUGUGGUCUGAAUCCCAAACCACUUGGAGACCUCAGAGUCGAAA
Molecule: long non-coding RNA, 2234 nt
Organism: Ictalurus punctatus (channel catfish)
Lineage: Eukaryota; Metazoa; Chordata; Actinopteri; Siluriformes; Ictaluridae
Source: Ensembl